UACGUAGGGUGCGAGCGUUGUCCGGAAUUACUGGGCGUAAAGAGCUCGUAGGUGGUUUGUCGCGUUGUCCGUGAAAACUCACAACUCAAUUGUGGGCGUGCGGGCGAUACGGGCAGACUGGAGUACUGCAGGGGAGACUGGAAUUCCUGGUGUAGCGGUGGAAUGCGCAGAUAUCAGGAGGAACACCGGUGGCGAAGGCGGGUCUCUUGGCAGUAACUGACGCUGAGGAGCGAAAGCGUGGGGAGCGAACAGG
RNAcentral lists this ribosomal RNA (253 nucleotides) under uncultured bacterium. RNAcentral's name for it is "partial 16S ribosomal RNA". It matches the Rfam family "Bacterial small subunit ribosomal RNA", at positions 524 to 776 of the family's 1533-position model. The record is from RNAcentral.